AUUAUUUUGGCAGAUUAGUGCAUUAAAUUUAGAAUUUAGUUAUGUAAUUUAUUAUUACAAAUAAUAC
Molecule: transfer RNA, 67 nt
Filed under: Nopromaea sp. ZMUN 10030816
Lineage: Eukaryota; Metazoa; Arthropoda; Insecta; Coleoptera; Staphylinidae
Description: tRNA-Leu
Source: RNAcentral